Molecule: ribosomal RNA, 377 nt
Filed under: uncultured bacterium
Lineage: Bacteria
Description: bacterial SSU rRNA
Rfam family: Bacterial small subunit ribosomal RNA
Source: RNAcentral
GAUUAACGCUGGCGGCGUGCCUAAUACAUGCAAGUUGAACGAGAAGCUUCGGCUUCUAGUAGCGAACGGGUGAGUAACACGUAGGCAACCUGCCCUGUUGACUGGGAUAACAAAUCGAAAGACUUGCUAAUACCGGAUAAUAACGUAUGUCGCAUGACAUAUGGAUGAAAGUUGGGAUACAACACAACAGGAUGGGCCUGCGGCGCAUUAGCUAGAUGGUGAGGUAACGGCCCACCAUGGUAAUGAUGCGUAGCCGAUCUGAGAGGAUGUACGGCCACAUUGGAACUGAGAUACGGGUCCAGACUCCUACGGGAGGCAGCAGUAGGGAAUUUUUCGGGCAAUGGGGGGAACCCUGACCGAGCAACGCCGCGUGAACG